CACGUAGGGUGCGAGCGUUGUCCGGAAUUAUUGGGCGUAAAGAGCUCGUAGGCGGUGUGUCGCGUCGGCCGUGAAAACCUGCAGCUUAACUGUGGGCGUGCGGUCGAUACGGGCAUCACUGGAGUUCGGCAGGGGAGACUGGAAUUCCUGGUGUAGCGGUGAAAUGCGCAGAUAUCAGGAGGAACACCGGUGGCGAAGGCGGGUCUCUGGGACGUCACUGACGCUGAGACGCGAAAGCGUGGGGAGCAAACAGG
RNAcentral lists this ribosomal RNA (254 nucleotides) under uncultured bacterium. RNAcentral's name for it is "partial 16S ribosomal RNA". It matches the Rfam family "Bacterial small subunit ribosomal RNA", at positions 524 to 776 of the family's 1533-position model. The record is from RNAcentral.